ACAAAGUAUUGAACUACGAGGCACUUUGACAACUCUCAAGACACGCAACGCUCUCGACACAGCAACCAACCACAUCUACGAAGAAUCUCCAGAAUGGCUAAUUGUGAGCAAAAGAAGCUGAGGAUUGUCCUCAUUGAAAAGACUGAAACCGACCUUUCGAAAAAGAUUAAAGGCAUCCUGGAAGAAUCCUUCAACUUGGUGACGACUCUGACCGGAGAUAAUGAAAGUGUAAUCGACGAGGGAGAAGAACACAAUAUAUUCAAAGAUUUUGAUCCAUCCAUCUUUUCUCCAGGUCCCCAUGUGUUUUUGCUCAUAUACAUGGGGGAUUUAUCUCCUUCAUCAGGUGAUGCGAAAAGAAUCCAACGCAUUAAAGAAUUCUUUGGUGAAGCAUCAAAGCCUUACUUUUUACCUUUGAUCAUCCACAAAAAUACAACAUUGGACACGGGGAAAAAAAAAGACAUAUUAUAUUCUAUUGAGAAAGAUUUAGAACUUAGCAGGAAGACAUACUGUGCACUUUGCUGCGAAGGUGGGAAGGUCAAUGAAAACGAAAUAAAAAACCUAGUUGUCAAGAUCAAUGAGGUGGUCAACAAGAACAAGAACAAAGAAACAUACACAAAGGAAAUGUUUGAUGAGGCACAAAAAGUCAUCAGGCUUAAAAAUGUGCAAGAAUCAAACAGCAAGGGAAAGACAGGUGAUGGAAACCAAGGUCAUAACAAGAAUGCAACAGACAAAGAUGCAAUUCGUGCAAUGCUCUCAGGUGGAUUUGCCAAAAGAACAGUGAAGGCACAGAACUCUUAAAGUAUGAAAGUUCAUGUUAACAUGACUGAUUUACUCAAAUGAAAUAAGUCAGACAGACAAAGAAGAGAGAAAUAUUUGAUGCCUUUAAUCCGAGUUAUUAAUCUGACAGACUUGGUUCCUCUGCAGAUUGAGAUCAAAACAACAAAUUAUAAACAAAGUACUUUAUAAUUAACAUAACCUGCAUUAAAGGAGAAGAGACAUUUACAUUAAAUUUAAUGAACUCCAAUUUUCCAGCUGCAAUAUUAUAUUCUGAAUGAUUUUAAUGCAAAUACUUCUACGGUGUUUUUUUCUUUGCUUUUUUUGCUUUAUUAAUAGCAAAGAUUUAUGAGACAGGUGUGACCUUUGUUGUGCGUUCAGUGUAAAUGCAGCGCUGUGAUACCACCUCAGCUCAGCUGCUGCAGUUAGAGGGAAACCUGACAACUGAUGUUUUCUGGAGAACCUGCAGCACAGUCUGUAGUUUCCUGUCAAAGCUGUUAAAAGUUCUUUUCAUUUGUGUUCUGAAAUGUGUUAAAGCCUGAUGGAUUUUGUGCUUCCACUCAGUGGACUUGUUUAAAAGAACGAUUGUUAAAUUUCACUCACAGCUCUUCUUCCUUUCUUUGUUGUGCUUUUCUUUAUUUUAUCAUGUCAUGCAGUUAAAAUGCUGAUCAGUGUGUGAAAAUAUAUUGCUCCAAUCGAUUUUGAACAACAGAAUCAGAUCAAUCAAUAAAUAAUGAUUUGAGUAAAUGCAUUA
Molecule: long non-coding RNA, 1528 nt
Filed under: Oreochromis niloticus (Nile tilapia)
Lineage: Eukaryota; Metazoa; Chordata; Actinopteri; Cichliformes; Cichlidae
Description: lncRNA (ENSONIG00000024609.2)
Source: RNAcentral